This 1320-nucleotide long non-coding RNA is filed under the name Homo sapiens (human). RNAcentral describes it as "HSALNT0299462". The record is from RNAcentral. Lineage: Eukaryota; Metazoa; Chordata; Mammalia; Primates; Hominidae.
CCCAUGCCUCUUUUGUAACCAUCCCCUCUUCAAACCGCAGCCCUUGGCAACCACUAAUCUGUUUUUCUUCCUGUAGUUUGGCUUUCUUAAGAAUGUCGUAUAAACUGAGUCAUGGAGUAGGUAGCCCUUGGUAUCCUGCUUCUUUCAGCUAGCAUAAUGCAUGUGAGAUCCAUUCAUGCUGUUGUGCAAAACAGUAGUUUGUUUCUUUUUAUUGCUGAGUAAGGAUUUUAUUGUAUGGAAUGUACCAGUUUGUUUAUCCAUUCUCCAGUUGAGAAACAUUUGGGUAGUUUUUAGUUCCUGGUGAUGACAGAUAAAGCUGCUGCAAACAUUCAUGUGCAUAUUUUCGUGAGGAUGUAGUUUUCAUUUCACUUGAGUAAAUGCAAAGCAGUGAGAUUGCUGGGUCAUACACUUCUAGACUUCCCAUGUUCCAAGUCCACUUCUGCCGGCAGAAUAGAAACCUCGUCAGUUAUCACAACUCAGAUGAAAAAGCCUCACAGCUUGCGGUGUUGACAGUAUUCUAGAAGACCCUACACCCCUGUGGCUUCUCGAUGACUAAUGUGGAGCCAGCAUCUGUCAGCACAAACUCAGAGUGAUUACCCAGAAAUAGGUAUCCUUCUAAUUAAAAUAUCUGACCAUGUCCCCAUCAGCCACUUGCCUCAUUUGGGACACCACCAACCAUCCUGCACGGCUGCCCAUGUUUCUGUUUCUCCAGCCCAAGCAUGCAGUUUCAGUAGGUCCUUCAGAGGCUGCCUGAAAGGAGCUCCUGAAUUUCACAGACAAAUCCAGACCCCUGUGUGGAAAGCCUGCGGUGGUGUUCUCCGUCUUCCCACAGGACUCCCUGCAGCCAGGAAUUCUAGGGGAGCACCUGACGCGAGGUAUACGCCCAGAUGGCCUGAAGUAACUGAAGAAUCACAAAAGAAGUGAAAAUGUCCUGCCCCGCCUUAACUGAUGACAUUCCACCACAAAGGAAGUGUCAAUGGCUGGUCCUUGCCUUAACUGAUGACAUUCCACCGCAAAAGAAGUGAAAAUGGCCGGUCCUUGCCUUAACUGAUGACAUUACACCACAAAAGAAGUGAAAAUGGCCGGUCCUUGCCUUAAGUGAUGGCAUUACCUUGUGAAAGUCCUUUUCCUGGCUCAUUCUGGCUCAAAAUCACCCCCACUGAGCACCUUGUGACCCCCACUCCUGCCCGCCAGGGAACAAUCCCCCUUUGACUGUAAUUUUCCUUUACCUACCCAAAUCUUAUAAAAUGGCCCCACCCCUAUCUCCCUUUGCUGACUCUCUUUUUGGACUCAGCCUGCCUGCAUCCAGGUGAUUAAAAG